RNAcentral lists this ribosomal RNA (406 nucleotides) under uncultured bacterium. Its description in RNAcentral is "bacterial SSU rRNA". It matches the Rfam family "Bacterial small subunit ribosomal RNA", at positions 355 to 776 of the family's 1533-position model. The record is from RNAcentral.
UAGGGAAUAUUGCGCAAUGGGGGAAACCCUGACGCAGCGACGCCGCGUGAGUGAUGAAGGCCUUCGGGUCGUAAAGCUCUGUCGCAUGGGAAUAAGAUCUGAAUGUACCAUGCAAGAAAGGAUCGGCUAACUUCGUGCCAGCAGCCGCGGUAAGACGAGGGAUCCUAGCGUUGUUCGGAAUCAUUGGGCGUAAAGCGGGUGUAGGUGGCUUUGUAAGUCAGGUGUGAAAUCCCAGGGCUUAACCCUGGAAGUGCAUUUGAUACUGCAUAGCUUGAGUGUGGGAGAGAUUAGUAGAAUUCCUGGUGUAGUGGUGAAAUACGUAGAUAUCAGGAGGAAUACCGGAGGCGAAGGCGGCUAAUUGGCCCAACACUGACACUGAUGCCCGAAAGCGUGGGGAUCAAACAGG